This is a long non-coding RNA of Cheilinus undulatus (humphead wrasse), 500 nucleotides long. RefSeq lists it as uncharacterized. The record is from RefSeq and is a predicted model, not a curated record. Lineage: Eukaryota; Metazoa; Chordata; Actinopteri; Labriformes; Labridae. The transcript is spliced from 3 exons.
GUCGUCCAGCGCGGAUGUUUACAUUCCUGGGGUGAAAGUCUUAAGCGGUGACGGUGGUGAACUCGGUCUCGGGGAAGGAAAAACUGUGGACUCCUUCAGCUGGAAGAGACUGGAUCUGUGACAGGUCUACACGGGGGUCGUGUCGGAUGAUGUGCACACGGGCUCACAUAAUGUGCUGCAACAUUUGCACAGUGUUGCACUCCAUCCAGCAGUUCUGGAAGCUCCUGUUGAUUGUUUGCUGGUGAAAAGUGGAACAAACUUGUCUCUGAUGUCCGUGCACAAAGGGCAGGUGGUUAGAGAGUGCAGAUCUGUUUCCACCUCCUGUUGGCUGCAGCGGGUGCAGAUCCAGCCUUGACUGUGGCGUCUUCUCUCCAUUGUGAGGUUUUGCUCACUGUGUGUACAUAGUCAGAGAUUUCCUCAGCUAUGGGUCAGUCACAGUGCUGAAGUAUUCUGCAACCUCAUAGUCCCUGUUAAGGGACAAAUAACAUUCCAGUUUUCUG